GACGAACGCUGGCGGCGUGCUUAACACAUGCAAGUCGAACGCUGAAGCUCAGCUUUUGUUGGGUGGAUGAGUGGCGAACGGGUGAGUAACACGUGAGUAACCUGCCCCCUUCUUUGGGAUAACGCCCGGAAACGGGUGCUAAUACUGGAUAUUCACUGGUCUUCGCAUGGGGGUUGGUGGAAAGGGUUUUUCUGGUGGGGGAUGGGCUCGCGGCCUAUCAGCUUGUUGGUGGGGUGAUGGCCUACCAAGGCUUUGACGGGUAGCCGGCCUGAGAGGGUGACCGGUCACAUUGGGACUGAGAUACGGCCCAGACUCCGACGGGAGGCAGCAGUGGGGAAUAUGGCACAAUGGGCGCAAGCCUGAUGCAGCGACGCCGCGUGAGGGAUGGAGGCCGUCGGGUUGUGAACCUCUUUCGCUCAUGGUCAAGCCGCAACAAUGGUUGUGGUGAGGGUAGUGGGUAAAGAAGCGCCGGCUAACUACGUG
This 483-nucleotide ribosomal RNA is filed under the name uncultured bacterium. RNAcentral describes it as "partial 16S ribosomal RNA". It matches the Rfam family "Bacterial small subunit ribosomal RNA", at positions 28 to 507 of the family's 1533-position model. The record is from RNAcentral.